RNAcentral lists this small nucleolar RNA (117 nucleotides) under Erinaceus europaeus (western European hedgehog). Its description in RNAcentral is "Small nucleolar RNA SNORA31". It matches the Rfam family "Small nucleolar RNA SNORA31". From Rfam's summary of the family: ACA31 (SNORA31) belongs to the H/ACA class of snoRNAs which are thought to guide the sites of modification of uridines to pseudouridines. ACA31 is predicted to guide the pseudouridylation of U3713 in 28S rRNA and U218 in 18S rRNA. Lineage: Eukaryota; Metazoa; Chordata; Mammalia; Eulipotyphla; Erinaceidae. The record is from Rfam by way of RNAcentral.
CUGCAUCCACUGAAUAGUUUCCUGUUGUUCUUUGGUUUGCACUAGGAUGCAAGAGGAAAAAAAAAAUCCCUGUGCUUUCUGUGUGUGGCAGCCCAGAUUGAAUAAGGGAAUACAUAU